GACUAACGCUAACGGUGUGCUUAAUACAUGCAAGUCGAACGAGCAAUGUGAGAGUGGCAACACUCCUGCAAAGCUAGUGGCGAACGGGUGAGUAACGCGUAGGUAAUCUACCUUGAAGAUUAGGAUAACCUUCCGAAAGGAAGGCUAAUACUAAAAUUUUAUAUUUUUCGUAUGAUUAAUAUAACAAAGGUAGCCGCAAGGCCUCCGCUUUAAGAUGAACCUGCGUCCUAUUAGCUUGUUGGUAAGGUAAUGGCUUACCAAGGCUAUGAUGGGUAGCCGGCCUGAGAGGGUGAUCGGCCGCACUGGGACUGAGAUACGGCCCAGACUCCUACGGGAGGCAGCAGUAGGGAAUAUUGCGCAAUGGGCGAAAGCCUGACGCAGCGACACCGUGUGAAGGAUGAAGGUCUUCGGAUCGUAAACUUCUGUCAAUCGGGGACGAAGGUAAUAAGGUUAAUAGCCUUUAUUAUUGACGGUACCCAAUAAGGAAGUCUCGGCUAACUCCGUGCCAGCAGCCGCGGUAAGACGGAGGAGGCAAGCGUUGUCCGGAAUCAUUGGGCGUAAAGAGCGCGUAGGCGGUUUUUCAAGUCGUAUGUGAAAACUUCAGGCUUAACCUGAUGAUUGCAUAUGAAACUGGAUAACUUGAGUACAGCAGAGGAAAGUGGAAUUCCUGGUGUAGCGGUGAAAUGUGCAGAUAUCAGGAAGAACACCGGUAGCGAAGGCGGCUUUCUGGGCUGUUACUGACGCUGAGGCGCGAAAGCUAGGGGAGCAAACAGGAUUAGAUACCCUGGUAGUCCUAGCCGUAAACGAUGGACACUAGGUGUGGGAAGUUAUCGACGCUUUCUGUGCCGAAGCUAACGCAUUAAGUGUCCCGCCUGGGGAGACGGCCGCAAGGCU
RNAcentral lists this ribosomal RNA (894 nucleotides) under uncultured bacterium. RNAcentral's name for it is "bacterial SSU rRNA". It matches the Rfam family "Bacterial small subunit ribosomal RNA", at positions 28 to 895 of the family's 1533-position model. The record is from RNAcentral.